Molecule: ribosomal RNA, 163 nt
Filed under: Cavendishia bracteata
Lineage: Eukaryota; Viridiplantae; Streptophyta; Magnoliopsida; Ericales; Ericaceae
Also listed under: 1 other name
Description: 5.8S ribosomal RNA
Rfam family: 5.8S ribosomal RNA (bases 1-123)
About the family: 5.8S ribosomal RNA (5.8S rRNA) is a component of the large subunit of the eukaryotic ribosome. It is transcribed by RNA polymerase I as part of the 45S precursor that also contains 18S and 28S rRNA.
Source: RNAcentral
CGAUGAAGAACGUAGCGAAAUGCGAUACUUGGUGUGAAUUGCAGAAUCCCGUGAACCAUCGAGUCUUUGAACGCAAGUUGCGCCUGAAGCCAUUAGGUUGAAGGCACGUCUGCCUGGGCGUCACGCAUUGCGUCACCCACUCCCCCGUGUCCCAAGUGGGCAC